UGCGUAGGCGGUUAUAUAAGCGAGAUGUGAAAGCCCCGGGCUUAACCUGGGAACUGCAUUUCGAACUGUAUGACUAGAAUUUUGUAGAGGGUGGUGGAAUUUCCAGUGUAGCGGUGAAAUGCGUAGAGAUUGGAAGGAACAUCAGUGGCGAAGGCGGCCACCUGGACAAAAACUGACGCUGAGGCACGAAAGCGUGGGGAGCAAACA
RNAcentral lists this ribosomal RNA (207 nucleotides) under uncultured bacterium. RNAcentral describes it as "partial 16S ribosomal RNA". It matches the Rfam family "Bacterial small subunit ribosomal RNA", at positions 568 to 774 of the family's 1533-position model. The record is from RNAcentral.